Non-coding RNA from Mycena leptocephala, 84 nucleotides. Lineage: Eukaryota; Fungi; Basidiomycota; Agaricomycetes; Agaricales; Mycenaceae. The record is from the annotation of a GenBank genome assembly.
AGCCUCGUGGUCUAAUGGUACGAUAUCAGCCUAUCAUCAAAAUGUAUAACGCUGCAAGAUGCGAGUUCGAUUCCCGCCGGGCUG